RNAcentral lists this ribosomal RNA (732 nucleotides) under Triticum aestivum (bread wheat). RNAcentral describes it as "partial small subunit ribosomal RNA". The record is from RNAcentral. Lineage: Eukaryota; Viridiplantae; Streptophyta; Magnoliopsida; Poales; Poaceae.
AUGAAAGCUCUAUUCUGGAACAUUAGAGGUUUCGGCGCUAGGGGGCGCCGAGACCAAAUUAGAGACGUUGUUCGUGGUGAUAAUGUUGACAUUCUAGGGCUGGUUGAAACUUUCAAAGAAUCCUUCUCCCCUAAUGAACUUUCUGCGAUUGCGGGCGUGGACAGGUUUGACUGGCACUUCCUUCCCUCUUCUGGCCACUCGGGAGGGAUUCUUAUAGGCUCUAAACGGGAUGUGUUUGAUUUUGUGGCUUUCGAUCAUGGCAUUUUCUGGUCUAGUGCAGUAGUGCAUCACAGAUCUCUGAACACCCUAUGGGAAUUCAUGGUCGUAUACGGCCUGGCUGAUCACUCGUUGACCUCCUUAUUUCUUGAUGAGCUCUCCUCUAAAAUUGAGGCCUGCACAAUUCCGAUUGUUAUCGGAGGCGAUUUUAACCCCCUUCGCACCCCCUCAGAUAAGAGUAAUCUAAACUUCUCCUGGCCUCUGGCGAACGCGUUUAACAACUUCAUUAGCAACUGUGCUAUCCGUGAGUUACCCAGGGUGGGUGCUCGUUUUACUUGGUCUAAUCAUCAGGAUAUCCCGAUCAGGUCGGUGCUGGAUUGGAUUUUUAUUUGUUCCAGGUGGGACUCCCUUUUUCCUCGUGCCUCCCUAUUGACAAAAUCCAAUGUGGGCUCGAAUCACACCCCACUCCUUCUUGAUGCUGGUCUGCAGCAACCUGUGUCCUCUUCUCGUUUCUAG